RNAcentral lists this ribosomal RNA (462 nucleotides) under uncultured bacterium. RNAcentral's name for it is "partial 16S ribosomal RNA". It matches the Rfam family "Bacterial small subunit ribosomal RNA", at positions 29 to 523 of the family's 1533-position model. The record is from RNAcentral.
AACGAACGCUGGCGGCGUGCUUAACACAUGCAAGUCGAACGCAUUGAGCCUUUCGGGGCGAAAGUGAGUGGCAGACGGGUGAGGAACACGUGGGAACAUACCUUGUAGUGGGGGAUAACGAUUGGAAACGAUCGCUAAUACCGCAUAAGCCCUAAGGGGGAAAGAAGCGAUUCGCUAUAAGAGUGGCCCGCGUUAGAUUAGGUAGUUGGUGGGGUAAAGGCCUACCAAGCCUGUGAUCUAUAGCUGAUUUGGGAGGAUGAACAGCCACACUGGGACUGAGACACGGCCCAGACUCCUACGGGAGGCAGCAGUGGGGAAUAUUGGACAAUGGGGGAAACCCUGAUCCAGCAACGCCGCGUGAAUGAUGAAGGCCUUCGGGUUGUAAAGUUCUUUUACCUGAGAAGAUAAUGACGGUAUCAGGGGAAAAAGCACCGGCUAACUUCGUGCCAGCCGCCGCCGUAA